AGAGUUUGAUCAUGGCUCAGAAUCAACGCUGGCGGCGUGCCUCAGACAUGCAAGUCGAACGAUUAAAGCUCUCUUCGGAGAGUGUAUAGAGUGGCGCACGGGUGAGUAACACGUAAGUAAUCUACCCUCGAGUGGGGAAUAACAACCGGAAACGGUUGCUAAUACCGCAUAAUGCAGCGGCACCGCAAGGUGACAGUUGUUAAAGAUUUAUCGCUUGAGGAGGAGCUUGCGGCAGAUUAGCUAGUUGGUAGGGUAACGGCUUACCAAGGCUACGAUCUGUAACCGGUCUAAGAGGACGGUCGGUCACACUGACACUGAAUAACGGGUCAGACUCCUACGGGAGGCAGCAGUCGUGAAUUUUGGGCAAUGGGCGAAAGCCUGACCCAGCAACGCCGCGUGAAGGAUGAAGUAUUUCGGUAUGUAAACUUCGAAAGAAUAGGAAGAAUUAAUGACGGUACUAUUUAUAAGGUCCGGCUAACUACGUG
RNAcentral lists this ribosomal RNA (485 nucleotides) under uncultured bacterium. RNAcentral describes it as "bacterial SSU rRNA". It matches the Rfam family "Bacterial small subunit ribosomal RNA", at positions 8 to 507 of the family's 1533-position model. The record is from RNAcentral.